Molecule: small RNA, 644 nt
Filed under: Vigna angularis var. angularis
Lineage: Eukaryota; Viridiplantae; Streptophyta; Magnoliopsida; Fabales; Fabaceae
Description: Non-protein coding transcript
Source: RNAcentral
AUGAGAAGAAUUUAUUUCUCUCUAUGAUUUCUAAUGCUAAUUGGUCCUUGGCAACAAGCUCCUGAGAGGGUCUUUGCUGCUUAUAAUCCUGCAGUGAGCAGAAAAGCAAUUCAUCAAGGCAAUGAACUCAACUCCUAAACAAUUUCAUGUGUUGGAAAUUAUGAAUGCAAACUAGAGUAUGGUGUCACACCAAAGGAGGAAAACAGUCUUCAGCAGCUCUGCGAGGGACAGAAAAACCCCCAUGAGUGCUGGUGUCUGAGGCUGUGAGUGUUUUGCAGAACAUGUGAGGAGUUGAUUUUGUAGGUGUUGUUUCAUUUCCUUCUUCAUCUGCUCCCAAUUCCUCAAUCUCUUUUCCCUCCAUAUACAUCCCUGCCAACUGAGCACAACCCAAGAUUUCAAUCCACCACUGCCCUUCUACUAUAAACAAUGCUCAAGGAAUUUAAUUAAAAAAUCUCAUCCUUCUGGGGAACAAAAAUGAAUCAAAGAUGCACCAAAACAGAAUAAGGACAAAAACCAACCUCAGCCUGGGGAAGCAAAGUAACCUGUGUAUAAACCUCAUCAUUCUCCUUAUUGGCCUAAUCAUAGUGUAAAAAUAAAACAGAAAAGACAAUUAAACCAAACAAAUAGAACCAAUGCAAGGAGGG